RNAcentral lists this ribosomal RNA (484 nucleotides) under uncultured bacterium. RNAcentral's name for it is "partial 16S ribosomal RNA". It matches the Rfam family "Bacterial small subunit ribosomal RNA", at positions 30 to 507 of the family's 1533-position model. The record is from RNAcentral.
AUUGAACGCUGGCGGCAGGCCUAACACAUGCAAGUCGAGCGGAUGAAGGGAGCUUGCUCCUGGAUUCAGCGGCGGACGGGUGAGUAAUGCCUAGGAAUCUGCCUGGUAGUGGGGGAUAACGUCCGGAAACGGGCGCUAAUACCGCAUACGUCCUGAGGGAGAAGGGGGGGGAUCUUCGGACCUCACGCUAUCAGAUGAGCCUAGGUCGGAUUAGCUAGUUGGUGGGGUAAAGGCCUACCAAGGCGACGAUCCGUAACUGGUCUGAGAGGAUGAUCAGUCACACUGGAACUGAGACACGGUCCAGACUCCUACGGGAGGCAGCAGUGGGGAAUAUUGGACAAUGGGCGAAAGCCUGAUCCAGCCAUGCCGCGUGUGUGAAGAAGGUCUUCGGAUUGUAAAGCACUUUAAGUUGGGAGGAAGGGCAGUAAGUUAAUACCUUGCUGUUUUGACGUUACCAACAGAAUAAGCACCGGCUAACUUCGUG